GCUAGUAAUCGCGGAUCAGCAUGCCGCGGUGAAUACGUUCCCGGGCCUUGUACACACCGCCCGUCACACCAUGAGAGUCGAUAACACCCGAAGCCUGUAGUCUAACCAUAUGGGGGACGCAGUCGAAGGUGGGAUUGAUAAUUAGGGUGAAGUCGUAACAAGGUAGC
This 167-nucleotide ribosomal RNA is filed under the name uncultured bacterium. RNAcentral describes it as "partial 16S ribosomal RNA". It matches the Rfam family "Bacterial small subunit ribosomal RNA", at positions 1334 to 1500 of the family's 1533-position model. The record is from RNAcentral.